Molecule: ribosomal RNA, 519 nt
Filed under: uncultured bacterium
Lineage: Bacteria
Description: partial 16S ribosomal RNA
Rfam family: Bacterial small subunit ribosomal RNA
Source: RNAcentral
GACGAACGCUGGCGGCGUGCCUAAUACAUGCAAGUCGAGCGGGCUUGCCUAGAUGAAUUUGGUGCUUGCACCAGAUGAAACUAGAUACAAGCGAGCGGCGGACGGGUGAGUAACACGUGGGUAACCUGCCCAAGAGACUGGGAUAACACCUGGAAACAGAUGCUAAUACCGGAUAACAACACUAGACGCAUGUCUAGAGUUUAAAAGAUGGUUCUGCUAUCACUCUUGGAUGGACCUGCGGUGCAUUAGCUAGUUGGUAAGGCAACGGCUUACCAAGGCAAUGAUGCAUAGCCGAGUUGAGAGACUGAUCGGCCACAUUGGGACUGAGACACGGCCCAAACUCCUACGGGAGGCAGCAGUAGGGAAUCUUCCACAAUGGACGCAAGUCUGAUGGAGCAACGCCGCGUGAGUGAAGAAGGGUUUCGGCUCGUAAAGCUCUGUUGGUAGUGAAGAAAGAUAGAGGUAGUAACUGGCCUUUAUUUGACGGUAAUUACUUAGAAAGUCACGGCUAACUACGUG